This 29-nucleotide ribosomal RNA is filed under the name Dactylogyrus squameus. RNAcentral describes it as "partial 5.8S ribosomal RNA". The record is from RNAcentral. Lineage: Eukaryota; Metazoa; Platyhelminthes; Monogenea; Dactylogyridea; Dactylogyridae.
CAACUGCAAGUGGUGGGUCUCUCGGAACG